UCUCAACUGUUGAGAUAUAAGGUUACCUUUCUGUCUUUGUAACUUCCAGAUCUUCAUAAAAGGAAAUCGCAAAAUUAAAAUUUCAACCAUAAAGGUGAAAGAAUUGUGUAAAAUAAGCUCUGAAGUUUCCUUAAAAUCUAACAUUUUAUAUUGUAGAUGACCAGUAGGUUUUAGAUUAUUGCACUGGAUAUUAACAUUUUAAUUCUUCCAAUUUGUUGGAUACUUAGCCGAACAAUUUAUAUUGAAAAUAACAAGAGAUUUUAAAAUCAUGUAUAUCUGACUUACCCUUUGGCUUGGAGAAACAGACACAGGUCAAUUAUAGAUUAUUCAUUUGUUAUUUUAAUUAAAUUAUAUGGACUGUGGCUUGCUAAUGCUCAAGACAGAAAAUGAAAGUGUUUUCUGCCCUUUUCCCUACACUAAGGGAUUAUUGAGAUAAUGACCUAAUAGUCUGGGUUGUGUAUAUGUCAGAAAAACUUCAUUUUAUUAAUAAGUGAUACUACAGAUACUGCCCAUUUAUUAUAUUGAUAGCAGCUGUGGAUAUGAGAAGAGUGGACCUAUAUAUGUCCAUAUAUAGGUAUAACCAAUAUAUAUGUAUAACAUAUAUAUGUCCAUAUAUAUGUAUAACCAAACCACAGGUGUUUUUUUGGAAGUCAUAUUAUACAGGGAGUUGACAGAGGUGUGAGCUGGACUUUAAGAAGCUGCACAUAAGAUGCUAGUAUGAUCAAGCUGGAAUGGACUUAGACAAUUUGAAACAACUUUUCUCAGUUUUCAGAUGAGGAAACUGACGGGUACCAAGCUUAAAUGACUUGACGAAGCUCAUAGAAGAUUAGCAGGUAGUAGAAUAAUGACUGCUGACUCCUAAUUCAGUGGAUCUUCCCUGGCCACCGUUUUGUAUUGAGCUGCAAUGCUUCCUUGACUGUUCUCCAUGCCAGAUUCUUAUCAAUGAUCUUUCACCUAAGAAACAGCAAAGAUUCUGGCAAGCACACGAUCUAGAGAUACAUCUUAUUGCGAUUUUUCACAAAAAUCAAAAGAAGAAAGAAGGCUUAGCUGGUGUUUAAUUAUUGUUAUUUUUUUCAAUAGGGAAAUCUGUACACAAUGAUUUAUCUCCAGUGAUUUGCCAUUGAUCAAUUUUUUUCUCAUUUCAUUUUCUAUUUUUUUGUUUUUUGUUUUUCUUUAUUUUUUAUUUUUUUCUCCUUUUUCUUUUUUUAAAUUUUCUGUUUAUCACAAAUGAUCAUGUAAUUAUAUGUUAAUACUAUGUAACCCCAGUGUUUUCAACUGUUUGUGAUUCAAUGUUACCCAGUUUUCUUUUCUUAAUUUUAAAUAAAUUUGAAAAAUUAUCUUAGAGUGUUUUGAGCCUGUGUUGGUACAUUUAGUUCUAGUUCAUUGUGGUAAAUCCACUUCAGUUUCUAAGUUUCCACCCUUUAGUAAAGACAUAUUUCUAAAUUUGGUUUAUAUCCUCAGUUACAAAAGAUUCUAACUGCUAGUUUUGUGACAGCAAUCACACAUACCAUCAAGGGAUGGGGCAGGCAGUUUUGGAAUGUGCUGAUGCUAGCAUUUUUAUAAGCCUAUGGCUUUUAUAGUCUAAAUUGUUCUUAUUUCUAUUAAUGCUUCAAUUUUUGACAAACACACAACCAUAGAAACAAAUAAUAAAUUUGUUUUUUGGGAAUUAUCCAGGAUUCUUGGUUAAGUGGGGAAUUUAGGCUUUGACAGCAUAAAGGAUCACGGAUAAGUAUUUUUCACGGUGGCUCUAAUUAUAAUGCUGAGCAUGUGGCAGGCACAGAAAUAUUUACUCAUUGACUGAAUAUAGCACAUCGUAAUGUUGAUUUUUUUCCAACAUAAUUUUAGAGCUAGGCAUAUUGUAUUCUAUUACACUAGACUAUAUAUCAUUCUUAAAUAGAACCAGCCUUGCUAGAUAACACAUGUUGGAGGAGAGGCCCUUCUUCUUAGCCCUCAGUGUUUCCAUCUAUGGGGAAGAAGUUCCACCAUACUAACAUUACUAUCGUCUCUCCACCUGCUCACUCACUUCUCCCCAAGGGAGGGGUGUUCGAUAUGGUUUCUGAGCUUGGAAAGAAAACUCAGGCAUGUGUAACAUGGUUCCUUCAGUCCCAUGACCCACUGUCCACAAAUGGGCUGCUCACAGAGUGCAUGCCUUCACCCUUGUUCCUGGCCAUGCAGGAAAUUGUAUGAAACAGUCCUAGCUGAAGCCUGAGAUUUUCCUGCAUUGCCUAGUCCUGGUGGGUAUCUGUCUACUCCUGGAGUUUGGAUUGGAAAGUCCACAUGCCUGAAGGUAUAAACCUAUUCUACAAAGGGGUGUUUUCUAGAAUGAAGGUAAUAUUUUUAUCUUACAUUUGCAGAAAGAGACAGAACAAUGUUAUAGGUGAGUGCAUGGACAAUGACCUCAAACAGCUAAGAUUCAAACCCCUGCGUUGAAUGAUUGAAUUGAAAUGAUUCAAUGAGCUAAUGUACAUAAAGCAUCCAGAAUGUUGCCUGGCACAAGGUAAAUGCUCUACAAAUGUCUGAUAUUAAUGUUAGCCUUUUGUUUCCCCGUUCAGUUGGUUCAGAACGUAGACAUUAUGUACUGGCUCUGCCUCACACCUCAAUAACAGAGAUUUCUUAAAGAAUAACUUAUAAACUCUUUUCAACUUCAAAUCACUCCGUGAUUAGGCUUAUCUUAUACCUUACUAGUUCUUAGCACCAGAAUUAUUUUUCCAAUUGUAGAACUAAUCAUGUUUCUCUGAAAUUCUUAAUUCGUGCAGACCUCUCAGUGGGGCUUCAAACUCUCACAGUCAGACCUCAGCAUACGUUUCCAGCCUUGUCUUCCUUACACACUGUGCUUUGGCACGAGUCUACCAUUGCUCACGGUUCCUGAAUCACAUGCAGUCUUCACACCAUGCAGCUUUGCUCUUUCUGCUUUGAGGGCUUUCCCCCUGCUCUGCUUGAUAGAUCAGAGCCCACCCUUCAUGGCCCAGCUCACAGGCCUACUCCUUUGUGAAACCUUUUCUUCUUACUCCCCAUUCAUGGAGGCCUCAUCUGUUGUGAAAGCAAAAGAACAUCUCAUUGCUGCUGUAACCCUUACUCACUUGAAUUUUAUGAAAAUUACGUGAACUCUGAGCUUCUGAAGGUCUUGGCCAGAGGGUCAGGUUCUCUUUACUUUUGUAUACUCAUCUCACCCAGCCCCUAACACAGUGACUUGCUCUUCAAUGAUUACCCAAGUAUGAGUCCAUCAAGGAAUUCUAUCAGAGUCUUUUCCAAAAUACCAACCAAACACAUCUACCUCUUUCCAUCUCCAUCUGAUCACCAUUAUCUCUGACUGGGUCUACUGUGGAAGCCUCCUAAAUUUUCUCCCUGCCUCUGUGCUGGCCCUAAUUUGGGUUAUUCCCUAAAUGGCCAUUGGAAUAAUGGAGUUAAGAUAUAAACCAAAUUAGGUUACCUCCCCACAUAAUACUGAAACCUCAAUUUUGAUCUUUCUGCACCUGCCCCUCUUUCACAUCUCAUAUUUUAUAAUCCCCCAUCUGCACCCUCACUCACUGAACUCUACUGACACUUCUCUCCUUUUCUCCUUUUGGUUUCUCAGACAGCCCAAACUUUUCUCAACCUCAGUCUCCUGCACACUCUUUUCCUUCUCCAUGAAAUGCUUAAGUCUUAACUUUUUUUUUUUUUUUUGACAGGGUCUUGCUCUGUCUCCCAGGCUGGAGUGCAAUGGCAUGAUCAAAGUUCACUGCAGCCUUGACCUCCUGGGUUCAACCAAUCCUCCUUCCUCAGCCUCUCACGUUGGUGGGACCACAGGCAUGCACCACCAUGCCCAGCUAAUUUUAAUUAUUUUUUUUUAGAGACAGGGUGUCACCAUCUUGCCCAGGUUUGUCUAGAAUUUCUGUGCUAAAGUGAUCUUCUCACCUUGGCCUCCCAAAGUGCUGGGAUUACAGGCCAUGAGCCAUGAUCUAGGCCAUGACUAGAUAUUGUUGUCCUUUAAGUUUCAGAUUACAAACCUCCUCCUAAGACACCCCGGCCCUCAGUCUAAGUUGAACACCCCCUCUGCGUAAUUCAUUAUACUGUGUAGUUGUAACCCUCAGAGCCUCAUUGUUUUUUUCACUGCAUUCAUAAGGAUUGGUAACAAUCUUUCUUCAGUGUGGGUUUUCCAAUGGUAUUAUCUGUUUUCUCCACUAGGCUAAAACUCCAUGAUGGCAGGAAUGAAGCCCAUCUUGUUAUCACUGUGUCCUGAGAAAUGAGCACAAACAGGAUGCAUGAGAGAACUGUGCUCAGUAAAAAACAGUUCACAGAUAGACUCUGAGGUCUUAAAAAUUCUCCAAGCAGAAACAGGACCCAGAGAGUACCUGGUUAAAGUCCUUCAUUUUACAAAGGGGAAAAUCAAGAUCCAGGACUUGUAAUGAGUUCUCCUAAUGCCCCAAGUCAGUGUCUGCCCAAAGGUCUCUGGUUUUUAGGGUAUCCUUCAUUAUCAAGUUCUCUUGCUUUAGGCUUCUGGAAACUAGCCAAUAACUGUAGAUUAUUAAUAAAGUAAUAUAACAGGAAAAUCAAAUGCUUCCUACACAACCUUUCACUGAGAAAUGAAAGCAAAGCCUAAGGAAAUGCCAUCUGACUAAUUUCUAACCAAUGCAAAUCUUCUCUCUUAGUCACCCCUAACAAAAAUGUCAAUGUUCUAUAAGCACAGUGAGAGGUGCCAAGGCCCAAGGCAGCUUUUUAGAUCUGCUCUGCCUCACAGAAGGGUCUAGGAUCUACUGCACAGUGGAGUGGCUCAGAGUUGCACUUGUUUAUUGGGCAAAUAGAGAAAAUCCAGAACCUUCAACAAACACCCUCUUUCUUCUAUGCCGUGGAGGGUUUUCUACCAUUAUCUGUGGCAUAUUUGUUAAUUGGUUGCCUUUAUUCAUGUUCCUGCUUCUUUUCCUCUUCAAGCCUCAAUGUUGUCAUCUCUAAAAUAGAGUGAUUGAUAUUGGCAGUCUUUUUAGCCUUGGCAUUCUUUGACCAGGAUUCUCCAAACAGAAACAAGAUCUAGAGAGUACCUGGUCCUGUUUCUGCUGUACAGUUAGUUCUCAACUUCAAAGGAUAAAUAUGAUUUGCUGAGCACAUUACUUAGGAUCUACCAUGCAUGGGAAAUUAGAUAAUCAUUUCAGCUCCUAAUUGCAUCCUCUAUUGUCCUGAGCAAGUAUAAGAUGCUGGUGAAUCCUGGAGCUAACACUUAGGUUUUCUGUUCCUUAGGACUGUAUUGUCUGCUAGACCAUUUAUUCAAAGUGGGAGGAUGAUGUUCUAAAAGCCAAUGAUAAAGCUCAUGGCAAUGCAGGGUAUAUCUGAUGGCAUGGAAUGCUUUAGGAUGGCCAAGAUUGCCCAUCAAAUGCCAAGUCACCGAAGGUACUCAUUUAUUCUAAAAAUAUCCACUAAGCAACCCUUUCUAAUAUGUGUUGUUCUAGGUUCUGGGAAAUAAGAAAUCAUUAGAAAAAGAUUUCUGCCUUCUAGAAGUACACAGUCUAAUGGUGAGAUAGGCAGGUAAGCUAUUACAACACAGUGAGAUAUGCACACGAGUAAAGCUGUUUUUCUUUGGUGUGCUCACAGUAAAGGGUAUAACUAACUCCAUCUGUGGGCUUCAGAAAGGGCUUCCCAGAGGAGGAUAUUUGAACUAGCUCUUGAAGGAUGAGAAAGAGUUUGCUUCAUAGAGAUAAAGGAGAGGAUAACAGCAGGUAGCAAAGCAGCAGUACACAAAGGUACUGAGUCCAGGCCUGGUCUCCUUUGGAAAUGGAGGAGGAGUAUAAGAGAAUUUUGUGGUAACAUCAGUAAGGAAAAAGAUGAAGGAGGGAGAGUAGAAAUGAGGCUGGAUGGGCGGUUUUGGAGGCCAACUGAGGAGGGUCUUACAUGCUAUGUUAACAGGCCUAGACUUCAUUCUAUAUGCAAACAGGGAGAUCCGGACUAAUGAGGGGUAUGUGUGUGUCCUUGUAUGUGCAUGUGCACGAAGGUGACAUAAUCAGGUAUGACUUUUAGAUGAUACUUGGUGACAAAGGAAGGGUGGAGAAUGUAAACUAGAGAAGCCUGGGAUAAUAUGGCUGCUUGGGAAUGGUGAGAAUUCUGGCAGCUGCAUUGCUGAUGAGUAAAGUGGAGGGAAGCUUUGGAAAAGUGUUUAGGGCCAAUCAGUAGAAGGUCAUACAUUCAUACUAAAGGGUUUGUUUCAAUAAGUAUAGCUAAAGAAUCCCACUCAUAGCUUUUUUUCCUGUGGUUUACAUGACAGUUAUUAAUGGCUCUCCUACUAGGAGCCUGACAUCAUGGUGAGCAUCGAGAAAGGAAUAACCUAAGCUGAAGACACGCCUUUUCAGGAGGCCAAGUUCCACGUUCUGUGCAUGCUUUUGGCGAAAGUCAGGUAAAGCCUCCAGAAAUGCAUGGUCUAUUCUCUCGGACCAUAUGGCUGUGGGCAAACUCUGGCUUCUUGGAGCCUCCAUUAGCCACCUAGGGAAAGGUAAUUGGCUUUAUGUUUGGCUCCAUCACUGCUGGCGACAAGCUCCACUGCAUUCUCAAGCAGUAGAUGAAAUACAACUGUGCUCCUGAAUGCAGCAAAGGAAAGAGAACCCAACUGGACCAGUGUGAAAUUGGGACCUUUGGAGGCAAGAAUGCACAUAUUUAUAAAUGAAUAAACAUAAUUUUUCUCUCUUCUUCCCAUUGGCAGCAUAUCUGAAGGCCCUGACUCAACAGUAGUGGGUCUUAAUGCUUGUGCUUGUCCACCCUUCUCGGCAGUGAUUGAUUUCAUUGUUGGCUUGUUUUCAUGACUUGAAUGUGCGAUCUUCAGAGGGCCUAAUUCCUUGCAAGUUCCAUUUGAGGGUGGAAGAGCUAGAACAAGCUAUAACCAGUAGACAACUCCGUGACUCAGGAGCUUAAGCAUGUGACUAAUUAGUAAGAAAAAAUGUGGUGAAGAUUUGUAGUUAAUAAGAAGGAAAGAAGAAUCACUGGGGCUAGAAUUAUGCAAGCUUUUGUUUCCUUUUGGGACUAUAUCAGAACUAUGAGAGAAGAAAGGCUACCUUUUACCUUUGAGGAAUUUUCAAAGCCUUUUUUUUUUUUUUUGGUUGGUUUGUGACUGACAAAGGGCACAAUUUCAACACCUCAGAAAAAUGCCUCAUCAUUUCCUCUUGUGAAAUCUGGGUGCUUCUGAAUGAAUCCAUGUUAGGAAUGUGUACUUCCAUCCAUUAAAGUCAAUGUCCAGUCUCAUUUUGGGCCAGAGGCUGUUACUAAGUUGUAGUACUGGUGAGAAAAGGACAGAGCAUUUACCUUCCCUGGGUAUCCUGUGACCUACAUGUGUCCUUGCAAGGCAGGGAAAUGUUACUAAUUAAGAGCAUAGCCUUUCGUCAGAUGGGUUCAGAUCCUAACACAUCCUCUUUCUGGUUACAGGACAGUCCUCUCUGAGCCUCAGUUUUCUCAUCUCUAAGAUGAGGCUAAUUAUACCUACUUCCCAGGGGGGUACUAAGGAUAAAGUAACAACACAAGAAAAUUUUUUAUCCUUGAUUUUCUUAGCUGGAAAAUUAGGCUAGAAAGACCUCCAUCCUUGGGGUAUUUAAAAUAAAAGGACAAACAUAUGAUGAGUCUAAGUGAUCAAUACAUUGUGGCUUUUGUACUUACUAUUCUGAAACAUGGGUGUGGCCUAGAUACUUUCCAAAAUUCUGCCCUCUCCACCUAGCAAAAUGACAACCAGACUUACAGAUAUGCCAACAAGCUAGUGUUUAAUAAUGGUGUUUGAUGAUAAAUGGCAUUUCUUUUCGACAUUUGUCUCUUUUUAAAACUUGGUGCUCUUAAAUGCAUCAUUGGAUAAGUGAUGACUGUUCCCAUUCGCAAGAAGAGACCUGGAAUCUAAGCAUGAAGGACCUGUCCUGAUGUUGAGAAGUGUGGAUCACAUUUAUUUGUAAACUUAGCUUCUUGCUCGUCUCAUGGUUGCUUUUUUUUCUUUUUCCUUUUUCUUUUUUUUUUUUUUUUUUUUUUUUUUUUUUUUGAGAGGGAGUCUCACUCUGUCACCCAGGCUGGAGUGCAGUGGUGUGAUCCCGGCUCACUGCAACCUCCACCUCCCGGUUUCAAGCAAUUCUCCUGCUUCAGCCUCCCCAGAAGCUGGGAUUACAGGCACGUGCCACCAUACCCGGCUAACUUUUUUUUUUUUUUUUUUUUUUUUUUGGGAUUUUUAGUAGAGAUGGGGUUUUGCCAUAUUGGUCAGGCUGGUCUCGAACUCCUGACUUCGUGGUCCGCCCACCCGCCUCAGCUUCCCAAAGUAUUAGGAUUACUGGCGUGAGCUACCGCGCCUGGCCUUAUGGUUUUUCUCAUUUUUUCUUCCCUUCCUCCCUCGAUUCCUUUGUUCCUUUUACUCUACCAUGCCUACUGUAAAGAAUAAACAAUAGAUUGGAUCUACUCUCAAGAUGCAGGAUAGAGAAAACCAUCAUUUAUUAAAUGGCAUCUACACCGCAGGCUUUGUACCAGGCACACACUCCACUGUUCCCAGUUAUCCCUUACUGCACCCCUAGAGGUAUAUGUUUUCCCAGAAAAGAUAAACAAGUUGCCCAAAGUCACAUAUCACAUAGCUAGCAAGCGAACAUGGGGCUGAAAUAAAACACUGCCCAAUUCCAAAAUCCAUAUACUUGUUUCUUCAUGUUUCCCUAUGAAAAUGGCAAAGGUGAGGAGUGUGUGGUGUGUGUGCGUGUGCGCGUGCAUGUGCGUGUGUGUUUGCACAUGGAAAAUUCCAAAUAUCACAACUUCUCUAUAGACACUAGACUCAUUCUUUGGCUAUGGCUGUGUCCGUUAUCCCAAACUCUAUCUUUACCCCAGUUUUUACACUUGCAAAAGUAGAGAAACUUUAAGGUCCACCAGCUUUUACUAACCUCCCUCUUGCUCUGAUAGCUGUGUAAUAAUUUUUGUAUCCUUCCCAGUGGGUUCCCAGUCUUUUCAUCUGCUAGGACCAUCUGGUAACUCAUCACCAAACAUGGUGCCUGACAGCAUCACUGGUGCCCUGCAAAUGUCCACCUGAUAAAUGAGUGAAUUAAUGAAUGAAUAAGAAAAUGAAGGAUACUGGCUGCCCCUGGCCAACUAUAUCUUGGCUUUGGCUUGUCAUUCUAGAUUUGUGAUACUGGCUUCUAGCAGAAGCUUAAAGCCUCUUUUUUGUUCUUUUGUUCCUCUAAUGUACUCCCCCUGCCCCUCCACCAAGAUGGGAAGGAGGGCUGAUCUGAGCAUUCAGGUUUCAGAAUGCUAAUUGGAUAGCAGCCAAUUAGAAGUAGAUCCGUAAGGAUUUAAUUAGACUUUCUGGGUAGAUUUGGAUAUUGCUUUCAAAAUGAAAAGGCCCCAAAUCCAGGUUCCCCUGGAUUAUAAUAGUUUUAUGGCUCUGCCCUGCUUUAAUUUGAGGCUAGUUGGCAAUACCCUGUCCAGGAAAAAGGAAUCUUCCAUGUAGUCCUGUCUGUUCUACUGAGGUCUACAUUUGGGUUUUAGCAAACAAUUCAGCUAAUAUAUAUUAUUUUUCUUUGUUCUCAAGGAUUUAAUGGCAAGAUGCCAUUAUAGACAAGAACAGGAUUCAGACACUUUCGUGUUAUGUGUUCUUGUCCAAAUACUGUGUCACUCUGCACUGGCAUCCCAAUCCCACCAACACCUUUAGCAGGAACUUCCUGUUUCAAUAACAUUUCUCAAUACUCUACCUGAUUGCUUAGAAUCCAUGAGACAGCCAUAUUCUCCAUGUCUAGGUCCCUAUCUUAUUUUUGUUGAGAUGGUGUUAAGACUUUAUUUGUGAGGCUUCUGGGGAAGAGGAGUAAGGUAUUGAUCCCACUGACUGGAUAAUUUGGGUCUCAAAAUGGAUAAUAAAUAAGCAUUACAUAUUUUGACCACUUCCUUGGAGGAGAACUUCUUGGAAUGUGCACCAUGUCCGCUGCACUUUUUUUGCACAGAUAUCUAAGUUGGAGAAACAUACUACUAGAUAAAUCAAUUUGUUCUCUUAGUACUCAUGAUAUGGUUCCUGGGAACUUCUGAUUCACCAAAUUAAUCUUGGCCAGGUACAUACCUGGCAGGAAUCCAAAAAUUCCCCAAGUCUCCUUGAAGUUCAGGAUCAUCAUUCUUAAUAAAUACACCGAGGGAAAAACCAUGGAGAGUUUGUCCCAGAUGCUGUGAAUCUGGCCCGGGGUACAUGAAGAAGUCCUUAAUUGCAGUCAUUUACAUGGUAGAUUCUCUAUAAUCAUUUAAUUUGCUAUAGGUCUAUGAUUUUUAGUCCUUCUUCUCUAAAUGAUUGAACAUGUAUAAUUCCCAUUUCAAUCAUAUUACCUGGAUGAACAAAAGUAACGCUAGACUCAUUCAUGCAUUCUGGUUGCCAAGGAAAAGGAAAAAAAAAACAAAACAAUCAACAGGAUGUUUAAACUGUCUUAGGGCAACUUCAGGCCAUAGUCACUGGUGUUCUUGCAGACUAUGAGAUAUUUUACAUUCUGAUAAGGGAUAAAAAUUCGUGCCUCACAUGGCUCCCAUCACACUAAGAUCUUGCAACAAUAACACUACUGAUUCAGACAUUAAUCUUAAGUAUCCAGGGAGCCCUAAAACAUUGUAUCCCACUAGCAAGGACCAUGGUAAUUGCCACGUAAAUCCCCUCCAUUAUGUGGCCCUUAUUAUGACCAGCCAGCCAAGGCUUGCCUUUAAAUCAUACCAAUUGAACCGAGCCUUGUAGAAACACUAUCACCUACGCAUACCUCUGCUUCUUUUCAUUAACCUGCUAUCCUCUUUACAAAUGGGAUUCUUCACCCACUCCCUUCUUCUAGAUUAGCAAUGCCCUGUUAAGUAAACGAACACGAAAUUCAAAGGGAAACAGGAGCAAUCAUCAUUACCAGCUGCCGUGUUAAGCAUUGCGAAAACGCUCACGAUUCACAGAAAAAUCCAUGCUGUUCUUUGAAGGCAUUCAAGCCUUAAUAGCUAGCUGGAUGAAUGUUUAACUUCUAGGCCAGGCACUACUCUGUCCCAACAAUAAGCCCUGUACAUUGGGAAAGGUGCCGAGACAUGAACUUUGGUCUUCUCUGCAAUCCAUCUGGAGCAUUCACUGACAACAUCGACUUUGAAGUUGCACUGACCUGGCCAGCCCUGCCACUUACCAGGUUGGCUCUGUAUGGCUAAGCGUUUUCUCCUAAAAUCCCUUGAAAACUGUGAGAAGACCAUAAGAAGAUCAUAUCUUUAAUUCUAUUUCACAAGUCACACAAUAUUCCAAUCAAAUACAGAUGGUUGAGAAAAGUCAUCCAUCUUCCCUCCCCACCCUCCCACAGCCCCUCAACCACUGCCCUGAAACUUAUAUGCUGUUAUCCGCAGCUCCAUCUGGAGCAUCACAGCUACUGUCAACCCUGACGCUCUUUCUGAAAAAACACCGGAUGGACAUCAGAACUAUUUCUUUAAGGAUGUUACUGAGCCACACAGGAAAACUUGCCUUAUGAUUUUGAAUGCACGGAUCUGAUUUGACUAAACAUGAUAACUAGAGAAUCACCCAAUCUACUCCCAUUUUCAACUCUAAAUCAUCAGAGUGUCUCAAAUCCAAAGCACACACAGACCAGCCUGGCCAACACGGUGAAACUCCACCCCUACUAAAAGUAUAAAAAUUAUCCAGGUGUGGUGGCGGGCGCCUGUAAUCCAAGCUACUUGGGAGUCUGGAGGCAGGAGAAUCCCUUGAACCUGGGAGAUGGAGGUUGCAGUGAGCAGAGAUCACACCACCGCACUCUAGCCUGGGCCACAAAUCAACAACAACAACAACAACAAAAAACAAAGCGCACACAGAGACUGAGGUCCUCUUUGGCAUUGAGAAGAUGGCUAUGCAAGUCCCAACUAGCAAGUGCAAACUUCCCAGCUUCACUUCUGCCAGUGUCCCUUCACCCCUUCUCAACCCCACUGGGAGGCAGGAGGGUGCUUGACAAUAACAGCCUUGGCAUCACUCUGCCAGGGUGUAAUAGGAACUGUUACAAUUCUGAGAUUCUGUGUAAGCACUGGCCUUUCUGCCUAGAAUGCCUUCUCCUCUCUUUUUUAACUGCAUGCUCCUAUUUAUCUUUCAAAGCCCGGAAAAAAUAACACUGCACACGGGAAAUGCUCCCUUCCUACUGCAGUCAUUUAGAUGACUCUAUGCCAUUCCAUUCAUUUCUCUUUCCUACCACAGAAGUGCUUUGAGAUUUUGGAGUCAGACUGCUUGAACUUGAAUCCUGGCCCUCUCAUCAGAGACUUGACUUAUUUUAGGCAAGUUAUAUAACCAAUUUUACCUCAGUUCCUUACCCAUAAAAUGGGUCUAAUGAGAGUACCUACCACACAGAAUUUUGAUGAAAACUGAAUGAGAUGAAGGCCUUUAAGGCAGUGGUCCCCAACCCUGGGGACACAGACAGGUACCAUUUUGUGGCCUGUUAGGAACUGGGCCACACAGCAGGAGGUGAGCAGUGGGUGAGUGAGAUCAGCGUUAUUUACAGCUGCUCCCCAUUGCUCACCUUACUGCCUGAGCUCCACCUCCUGUCAGAUCAGCAGUGGCAUUAAAUUCUCAUAGCAGCACAAACCCUGUCAUGAACUGCACAUGCGAGGGAUCUAGGUUGUGCGCUCCUUAUGAGAAUCUAAUGCCUAAUGACCUGUCACCGUCUCCCAUCACCCCUAGAUGGGAGUGUCUAGUUGCAGGAAACAAGCUCAGGGCUUCCACUGAUUCUACAUUAUGGUGAGUUGUAUAAUUAUUUCAUUAUAUAAUACAAUGUAAUAAUAAUAGAAACACAGUGCACAACAAAUGUAAUGUGCUUGAAUCAUCCCCAAACCAUCCCAGUCCACGGUCUUCCACAUUUUGUCUUUUCACAAAAUUGUCUUCCACAAAACUGGUCCCUGGUGCCAAAAAGGCUUGGGACCACUGCUUUAAAGCCUUUGCAUAGUGCUUAGAAUUGAGGGGGAAAAAAAAAACAAAAACAAUGUAGCUAGUUGCUACAAUCACUAUAUUGGUGAGUUUCAAAAGGAAAAGAAUUCUGUCCCAUUUAUGCUUGAGCCUUGAGUUGCUAACCAAGCCUGACACAAAAUUACUGUUGAAGGGAUGUGUGAGUCCUAAUUGAAAUGAGGCCUCUUAAGGGAAUUGUGGACCAAACCCCAAGCAGGCAGAAAGCCGUAUCUUAAUUAUUGCAAGUAUUUCAGGCAAGGUGUGGAUGGCCAUUUGAAUUCAAGCAGACUAGGACCUGGGAUGAGAAAGAAGGUGUGUACGUGACUUGAUCUUUGAACUUUAGCUCACCAUCUGGAAGAAGGCUGAGUAUUCUCUGCACUCACAUAGUAGCUAAUGCCUACUCCCCAGCCACCCACAAUUCUUUCUGUAGGAAGGCUCGCUAGAAUACUUUGUGAUAUUGGAUAUUAGUUCCAUAUUCUACUGUGUAUCUUAGUUCAACCAAAUUGUAAUCAUCUGAUAUUUAUUUCUUUUAAUAUAAAUAUAAGUAUAUUAAGUCUUGGCAUGCUUGCUCAGUCUCUCUCUCUCUCCCAUUCCUCCCCGCUCCCCUCUCUCUUUCCCAACAGGCUUGGAAAGCAGGCAUCACCAUGCCUAUUUAACAGUUGGGGUCCCUUGGCCACCAGGUGCUGGAGUAGGAAUCUGAGCCCGGACAUGCCUGAUCUGUAAAUUUUGUGUUUUCCCCACUGUGCUGGGCAGAUCACAGCUAUCAGCGCCAAAUUCAUAGAAGGGGCGCCCCCUGUGGUCAAUUGAGGGAUUUGUGUUUGAGGUAGAUCUCAAGAAGGAAUGGGUGGGGAACUUAGCCUAGGACAGAGCAGAAAGGAGCCCUCACUCCCCAAGCACCAACGGCCUCAGUCCUUCCUGCUGACUCCAGCCUCUAGCUCUCACCCAGACUAUCUGCAUCCUUCUCUCCACCACGCUCCUUUGGAACCUGCGUAAAACACAGAUUAAAGGAAUUCCGCCUUACUUCCCUUUCCGCAUUAUGACCAAAUGGUUUUACACUAUCAUUGAACAGUUUAGUACAAAACAUGCCACCUUUUAAUCUAUUCAUUCAUUUAACAAAUACUUUGGAGUGUUUACCAUGUGCCAAGUGCUGUUCUAAUAGACAUAAGCUGUGAGGUUAUGCUUAUCUGAUUCUCACAGCAACAGCUUUCGAGAUAUGAAUUGGUAUACUCAUUUGACAGAUGAGGAAAUUGAAUUCAUGUAGUGAGAAAGGAAGAGCUGCAAUUCAGGGUUACUGGUUUCUCCUGCACUAAGCACUGAGCCACACUAGAAGAGAAGGCAUGAGGAAGACAAAAGUGAGAAGGUACGAGAGAAGAUAUUAAGUAGAGGUCUAUUAGUUCCUCUUAAAACUAUUUAUGAAAGAGGCGGAUGGGGUAGUGGAUGGGAAAGACAGAUGGAUUCAUGUUCUUCACUCCAGGUUUCCCCCCAUUCCCUUCCCUUUUAAAUGCCUGCUCAUUUUUUGGCUACCUUUCAAGCUCUAGGAAAUACUCUGGAAUUCCAGGCUGGGAGGGGUUUCCUUUGCAGAUCUGGCUAUUGUAACUUUACAAGAAAUUGCUCAAUACUUCCUCUCACCAGUUACAAACCACGGUUUUCUGAAUGAACUUUAUGUUCAUUAAACAGUUAACCCUUCAGCUUUCUGACUCACAUUUUUCAUGUUAUUAAUCAGCUCUUAGAGUAAGGUAAAAUCUAGAACAGACUUUAUAUACACCCUCCCUCCCACACACAUAUACAUACAUAAUACAAACACAGACCACACAUGUCCACAUCCUUAUGCGCAAACACUAAGAAACACACGCAUACACAAACAUACAUGUACACAAAAUUAAAUACAUAGCUAUGGCACUUUCACUAUACAUGUAAACACCCUUACACACAUACAAAUGUACAUGCGCGUGUGCGCACACACAUAUGGAAUUAGCUUUUUCUCUUUGUGGGAGGAGGGAAAUGAAAAGACCCAAAACAUUCAGAUUCCCAAAUGGACACGUAAGAACCCCGUCAUGGAAAUAGGUCUGGGUUUUUUUCUCUUUUGAGGGAAGCAGGGCGUUUCUGGUUACUGUCGCCAUUGCCAUUGUGCCCCUGCUUACCAUCCCCCUGCACCGCCCCCCCGGCCCCCGCCCGCCACUGCUAGGGUUUACAGGUCAUCCCUGGAUUAAAUAAGUGAUAUUGUGUUUUUUUUUCUUUGACACAAAGUAAAAUUAUAAUUAAUAUUGAAUAAAGUAAAAAUGAACUCCUGAGUUCCAGUCCCUUAUGUAACACACCUGGUUUGUGGCAGGCACUCAGGAAAUAUUAGUUGCAUGAACGAAGGCUGCAUUUUCAUUAGAACAACAUGCAGUUCAACCCCUUCAUGUUUCAAUGAGGGUUCAGAUACCCAGAGGGCUAUGCUAUCAUCCUGGAGCCCACUCUGCUAACAAUUAGCAGAACGGAAGCCUUAAUUUCCAGAUUCUAGUGAACUUGAUGAGUCAAGACUAUUGCAAUUGGAAAUCUGUUCUCCUCUGCUGCUGCAUUCCCUGCUUAAUACUCAAGCCAGAAACCAGGAAGGCUGUGGCUUGCCUUUUCACUUCUUGUGUCCUGUUUAAGAAAUAUCUGCUAUCCCAAGAUAACACUAACAAAGUUGACCUUAGAAUUGGAGUGCCUGGGUUAGAACCCUGCUGGUACCACCUGCUUACUGCAUGCUUCUGAUGUGAGUUCAGGAGAAGACACUGGCAAGGACAGCAAAGAACAGGAGAACACUCUAGCUUCCCUGAUAGCAUUCAAGGUGCUGUCCAAACUGACUGUGAUGGCACCCUCCAGACAGACAGCGAUGCCACAUGUUCAAGAUGGCAGAAUCACUAUCAGCUUCAAUUCCUGAAUGACUGCAGAGCAAAAUUUCUUACCUGCAACAUACACUCUAUUUUCAGCCUCCCUGGACUGUUACAUAAUGAUACAUAAAAAUAUUUCUUGUGUUGAGGCAUCCCAAAUUUGAUUUAUUUGUCAUCACAGUCUAUCCUAUGAAUAUAUUUCUGAUCCAAAUAAUGCUAGAUUCAUGAGAGUUUAUAGUCCAGAGAUUUUUUUUUUUUUUUUGAGACAGAAUCUGUCUCCCAGGCUGGGGUGCAGUGGCAUAAUCUUAGCUCACUGCAACCUCUGCCUCCCGGGCUCAAGUGAUCCUCCCUCCUUAGCCUCCAUGAGUAGCUGGGACCACAGGUGUGCACCACCACACCCCGCUAAUUAUUUUGUAUUUUUUGCAGAGGGGGGUUUCACCACAUUGCCCAAGCUGGUCUCAAACUCCUAGACUUAAGGGAUCUGCCUGCCUUGGCCUCCCAAAAUGCUGAAAUUACACUUGUUAGCCAUAGUAAUAGUUCCUAGCCAUAGUCCGGAGAUAUUUUAAAAACUUUAGUGUGAGUUAUUUCUCUUUGCUAUAAUUCUCUCAUGCAUUUUGAAAACCUUUUCUGCCAUACAGUGGUUUUUGGGAAGUCCUUUUGGACAGACAUAUCACAGGAUGGAGAAACUAAAAAGAGAGAAUGCAUUAAAGAAAAAAUAGUACUUCGUAUUUCAGAAAUUACAAAAGGGUGUCAUGCCCCACAGCAUGGUGGGCAGUCAUUUGUAACCCACAGAACAUUGAGUUUCUAAAAUUUGAGUGUUUUUAACUUACGAAGGCCAACUUUACUGAUGAAGUGAUUACCCCAAAUAUGUGAAAUCCAUAUUUCAAGUACAAUAGUAGGAAAUUGGAAAUGGGCUCUUGAGUUUCUGCUUUCAAGUGACCCUCAGAAAUUCCUCCAUUCACUGCAGAGGUUCUGUUUCUCCUUGCUUUGUUCUGACUUUACGGCAGAACUAAGCUAAUGAGUUAGUUACUAUGGGUUAUCACUUGGAUUUGAAGAACCAUCAUUUCUAGGCAUUGCUGCUCAGAGUGGGUCUGCCCUCAGGGGAAGCUGUCUAACCAGAGCCUAACCCACUAGGGUUUUAUCAGAACCUAACUGACCUGAGGAAAAGAAAUACUCAACUCCAGCAAGCUCCAGCCUUCCAAAUGGAGGAGGAGAAAACCCAACUCCAGCCCACUUCAGCUAUCUUGUCCCACAUAAAGGGGAAGUGGAAGAAACCUGAGAAGCAGGCAUGAAGUUCACAGUCCAGAGACCUUGCCAUCGUAUCCCCUUUUGGAGACACAAGCCAGGAAGGAAGCUCUUCAGUGCAGCUGUGAAUAGAGAAAUGCUGGCUGAGGUUUUGGAGACACUGGGUGAUCAUUCCCAGUGAAAUUUUUAGAUCCCUGGGGACAUGAGCUGCUUUGUCUUUUCCAAGGUCAGGAUAAACAGAAUAACUUCAGGCUUCUCUACCCAGAAAGAACAUGUGGCAUAAAUAUCAACUGCAGAAUAAAUAUGAUUAAUCUGGUACAUGGACGAAGAUGUUUUCUAGGAGAUGCUUAUCCUGGGAUGAGAGCUUUCAUAAGCAUUGAUAUUUACAUGACUCUUACCGUGUGUCAGGAACUGUUCUAAUUGUUUUACCUAUGUCAAUUCAUUUGAUAGUCACAACCACUGAAAGGAGUAAGUACUCUUAUUACUUCCAUUUUACAGAUAGGGAAACUGAGGUAUAGAGAAGUCAAGUGACUUGCCCGAGGUUAUUAAACUACUUAAUGUCAACACCAGGAUUUGAACCCAGAUCAUUUGUUUCUGAAGUACAUGCUCACAAUCACUGCAUUACUGAUACACUGUUUUGUCUUUGCAUACUUAAGUGGUCAUAACUUAGUCUGAAACACUUUGUGAGAGCAGGAAGCAAACUGUCCCCUUAUUAGGUGGACCAGUAUAGUGAUAAUACAAAAGUGUAUUGCAUUUGAAUUACUUGCUAAUAUCUUCUAAUUGAGGCAAUUUUGAACAGGAAUAUACAUAUCUAGCCUCUAUUUUUCUAGCUAGAAGUUCUGAAAUCCCUGGGCUUAAUAUUGUAUGGCAACAAUUGGCUGGAGUUGAGUUGCUGCCACUCUCUUUUAACUGAGCCAUGCUCUCUCUAGUUUGCUACAGGCCCCACCACUCCCUAUUGCCUCUCCAAUACCAGGUCAUUUGGCAUCUUACUCAGCUCAUUUCAUGCACAUGUGUUCCACAAUUGGUAACAUAACCCUAAAAGUAUUUGAGUUUGUGGCUUCUGCUCUUGUGACAGAAGACUUUUCUCGAAUUCCAAGGUCAACAUAUACCAUAUUGACUCUGGGCCACAUUUUUUAAUGUGCUCAAGCUCAGUUUUUCUCCUUAAAAAAUGAGGGGUUAAAAAUAACACUUCGUAGUUGCCUCAUCUGUGGAUUGGAAGAAUGAAUGCCUGUCAUUUCUAGAGUUGUAGUAAGGGCCAGUUGGGGCAGUGCCUGUGAAUAUACGCAAUGGGCCAUCAAGCAAUCUCAGGGCUUCAGGCAAUGCUGGGGUUUAUAAAGCACUUUAUGUUUUAAGUUCACUUUUAUUUCUAAAGUCUCAUUGACUGCUCUGAAAAUCUCUCAAGUAAAGUGGGCACUAAAGGCUUUAUACUCUCUCCAAUUAUACCUUCCAUUGUAUAGAUUUGGAAGCUGGGGUCCAAAUGUGUUAAAUGACUUGCCUAACAUGGUCCAUUACUGUAAGUACAGAAACGGAAUGAGACCCCAAAUCUGCUUCAUGGAGGGACACUCUUCUAAGAUACUGUGAUGCUUCUUCCCAAGUAAUUCCGUCUUCAGACUUCAAGGUCUCAAUUCGAAUGACAAUUCAAUAUAGGACUUUCAUAAUCUUAAAAGCAACCUGACAGUCAUUACAGUGGGCUGUGAGAAAUACUAACGCAGAGCCACAUACUCUGGGCUUCAUGCUAGGUUUUGCCACUCACUAUCUUUGUGACAUUGGGCCAGUGACUCAACCCAUUAAACCUCAGUUUCUUCACUUAUACAAUAGGGAUAAUGUCAUCUGUUCAGACUACCUUACAAAUUUGCUGUGAGACUCCAUUGAGAUGAUGUCAGUGAAAGCAUGAUGUCACUAUACAUUAAUAUCAGAAUGUGUAUGUCUCUUAGCCUCCUGACUAAAGACUGAGCUUCAGGAGGGUAUGUUGUAGACUGUCUUCUCUAUUCCAGGUGCUUUUGUACUUCUCACAUAAGGAUGCGUGAAAUGCCUAAACAAUAAGACCUUAGCCAUCAGGUGGUUCCAGCCAGGGAAGCAGGAGAUGGAGCCAUGAAAUGAUUCUUUUUUGGGGAUUGCUGUCAAAAAAUGAGGAAUGAUACUCGAGUUGAGGUCUGUUUGCUUUCUACCUGUGCAGGUAUCAGCCUAUGAGAUUCCAAGACAUUCUUGAUCACUAGUCAGCAGUUCACACUGUCAAAAUUCAAAAAUUACUGUUAGGGUAAAGGAACGUUGGAGUUUAAGUCAGAAGAUGUAGCUUUAAAUUUUGAUUCAGUUCUUUAGAAACUGUGUGUCCCUCUCUGGACCUCAACUGGGCUGUCAUAAUUAAAGGCGUUCUUAGACAUAGCAAGAAUUUAUAUUGGUUCUCUUCCUUCUUAUAAGCUUUAUUACAAACACGCAAAUUUUCACUGGAAGCUUGUACUAGGUUUGUAUUGUAUUUGCCUUUUUCUUAUUUUUUUCUCUCUCUUUCUUCCUGUUUUUAAAUCCACUUGUGAGCCAAGUUGGCUCUUAUUCAUUUUAUCCCGAGUUACCAAACACCCUACCCAAAUUGAGAGCAUUUCUUCUCCUCAGGCUGAAAAUACUCAGUGAGUAAACCCAAGGUCUUUAAUAGCAAGACAAUCAGAUCUGCUUAAUGUAAUUUGGUUUCUGCCUCGGAAUUAAUGUCGCAAGAAGUAUUUGAAUGAGGUUUGCUGUCUUUUUUUCUUACAGAAUUGUAGACUGGAUCUCACAAAAAUUCUGGUCAAACUAACAAAUGAUUCACUGAAGAAUGGGGGCAGAAAAAAAAAGCUGGCUGCUUGUUCCCUCUUUCUAGUUAAUGAAUCGAAUUGAUACAGGAACUUCAUCGUGUUCUCAGGGAAAUCCUGUUGGCUGGGGCUCACUCUUCAGCACCGCUAAAUUUAGGUCACGGCUCAGUGAAGAACAAUUACAGAUUCUUAAUAAAAGAUAAUUUACCCAGUGACAUCCAACAGGACAUCUGGGCAGGCGUUCUCAUUUUCUUGUUAAUGUUGUAGAGGUGGGGAGCGUGGAGUAGGGAUGAAUGUUGACAGAAAGUCAUUUUCUGACCUGCUUUGUGGCAUAUGUCAGUCCAUGCUCUUCCAGCAACUGAAAGCUGAACCUAAUGGGACCCCCACAAAAUGGUUUUCUAAAUUGGGCCAGGACAAAAAAAUGCUAAGAAGCUUAGUAGUGGGAAGGCAGAAUUCAUAAGUCCUGCAUUUGAAACCUGGUUGCUCAUGCCUUCUCUGGAUUAAUCUUUUUCUACCUUACCUUCUGCUCUCUACUAACUGCUCUCUCUACUCUUUAGCCAUGCUGAAUUAUUUUAUGGCUCUUCACAAACUGUGAUUUAUCUGUCCCACCUCCUGCCACCCUCCCUUUUUUUUUUUUUUUUUUUUUUUUUUUUUUUUAGACAGGGUCUUGCUCUUUUGCCCAGGUUGGAGUGCAGUGGUGCAAUUUUGGCUCAUUACAACCUAUUCCUGCCAGGCUCAAGUCAUUCUCUUACCUCAGCCUCCAGAGUACCUGGGUUCACAGGUGUCUGCCAUCACCCCUGGCUAGUUUUUGUAUUUUUUGUAGAGACAAGGUUUUACCAUUUUGGCUAGGCUGGUCUCAAACUCUUGAAUUCAAGCAAUCUGCCUGCCUUGGCCUCCCAAAGUGUUGGGAUUACAGGUGUGAGCCACCAUGCCUGGAUUCUCCACCUUUUUUGUCUUUGACCACCCUGUUCCUCUAGGUUGAUAUGCUUCCCCCUCCCUUUUGAAUGACUUAUUUUUGCUUUAAAACCUAUUUCCAUUGUCGUCUCUUCCAGGAAGCUUUCUGUGACCCUUGAAGGCAAAGUGUGAAGACUUUCUCUAACUCUUUGCUUGUUUUCUUCAUUAGAUUGAGCUCUGCCAAGUACAGACUGUGUCAUAGUGUUCUCAGUGUCCCAGGAGUAACCUACUCCAUUCAAAUCAGUUUUCUUAAAGUCCUAAUGGCCCCACUGUUGCCAAACACAACAGACAUUUCACAGUCCUUAUAUAUUUUCCCUUUUAAUGGAAUAUUACACUGUUUACAAGUUCCUCCUUCUUGAUGCCUUCUACUGUGGAUUGAAUUGUGCCCUCAAAAAUACGUGAAGGGCCGGGCGCGGUGGCUCACGCCUGU
This 21126-nucleotide long non-coding RNA is filed under the name Homo sapiens (human). RNAcentral describes it as "HSALNT0143547". The record is from RNAcentral. Lineage: Eukaryota; Metazoa; Chordata; Mammalia; Primates; Hominidae.